This 1129-nucleotide long non-coding RNA is filed under the name Neogale vison (American mink). RNAcentral describes it as "Neovison vison (American mink) lncRNA (ENSNVIG00000000679.1)". The record is from RNAcentral. Lineage: Eukaryota; Metazoa; Chordata; Mammalia; Carnivora; Mustelidae.
GGGUGGGGCAGGGAGGGGCCGAGAACUCCGGGCGGGGCCCCGCCUCCUCUCGCGAGACUGUAGACAGCCGCUCCCGGGUCGCCUCUUUCGAAACCUUGCUGGAGGGGUGGGGGUGUUCCCUUGGGUACCUCGAACCCGUGAUCGACCCCCCCUCCUCUGAGUCUAGCUACCCAAAUAAAUCUGAAAUAGGGCUGCCAGGAGGAGUGAAUAGGCCCGAACCUCUGUCCCUCUGCCGCGCGGGCCUGGGACCCGCUCUCCUGAGGGCGGAAAGGGUGCAAAGCCGAGCUGACUCCGGGCCCACCCCCGAGGGUCGAGGCCCUGGGAGGACUUCGAACACGGGAUCGUUAGCUUGGUUCCAAAAGGAAUGUAGGACGAGCAUGCCGCAUCUGACAGGUGAGACUACAUAACCAGACUUCGGGCUUUUGAGAGAAUCUUGUGUUUUAUGUAAAAAUACUCCUCUAAGAAAAAAAGAGUUACUGUGGCUUUUAAGACCUAUAGGGCCUUUUUAAAAUACUAAACUAAUGUACCUACUUUAUAUCUUUUAAACUUCUUUUGGGUUGUGGUUGGUAAAGGACACUGAAAAUGACAAGCUCAAUAUAUAGGUGCUAAUUUAAAUAACUUUGGUUAUUGAGUAGGCACUGGGGACUAGCAAAGAACAGAGUUUGAAACCCAGAUAAAAAAACAUAAUGGUACCACAGCAGUCUCUUUCCAUCUGAGGUUACUUUCCCUGAUUUGGAUUUGUCUUUUAUUAAGUUAUCUCUGCACCCCACAUGGGGUUCACACUCACAAAUCUGGGAUGAAGAAUUGUAUGCUCUACCAACUGAGCCUACCAGGCACCCCUGGAUUUGUCUUUUAAAUCCACUGACCAUGCUGCUUUGUGUCUUUGGACAACACAUAGGUACUCAGUGAAUACUCACUGUAAGGUUAUAAAGGUGGCUAAUUUGCUACAUAAGCUCCUAAGGAGGUAAGGUGAUAGCCUGGGUGCUCUAAAUAUGAUAAAUAUUGAGGAGAAAUGCUUAGAAAAUUAUUUCACUGAGAAACAAUUUUUAGAGGUUUUAACUAUCUUAUCUUCUUAGUUUUCAAGCAGGUACUCAUCUUCACUAUUGGUCUAGCUUCUGCUAAAACCAAG